AUGCACGCUGGCGGCGUGCCUAAUCCAUGCAAGUCGAGCGAACGGACGAGAAGCUUGCUUUUCUGAUGUUAGCGGCGGACGGGUGAGUAACACGUGGAUAACCUACCUAUAAGACUGGGAUAACUUCGGGAAACCGGAGCUAAUACCGGAUAAUAUUUUGAACCGCAUGGUUCAAAAGUGAAAGACGGUCUUGCUGUCACUUAUAGAUGGAUCCGCGCUGCAUUAGCUAGUUGGUAAGGUAACGGCUUACCAAGGCAACGAUGCAUAGCUGACCUGAGAGGGUGAUCGGCCACACUGGAACUGAGACACGGUCCAGACUCCUACGGGAGGCAGCAGUAGGGAAUCUUCCGCAAUGGGCGAAAGCCUGACGGAGCAACGCCGCGUGAGUGAUGAAGGUCUUCGGAUCGUAAAACUCUGUUAUUAGGGAAGAACAUAUGUGUAAGUAACUGUGCACAUCUUGACGGUACCUAAUCAGAAAGCCACGGCUAACUACGUG
This 496-nucleotide ribosomal RNA is filed under the name uncultured bacterium. RNAcentral describes it as "partial 16S ribosomal RNA". It matches the Rfam family "Bacterial small subunit ribosomal RNA", at positions 29 to 507 of the family's 1533-position model. The record is from RNAcentral.